Molecule: long non-coding RNA, 3203 nt
Organism: Hipposideros armiger (great roundleaf bat)
Lineage: Eukaryota; Metazoa; Chordata; Mammalia; Chiroptera; Hipposideridae
Exons: 3
Source: RefSeq, a predicted model, not a curated record
GUUCCACCUUAGGGUUCAAGAAAUGAAACAUAACUUAGGUUAAGAUGUUAUCUUUAGCUGCCAGAGGUCCAGACCAUGUGACCACUAGUCAGGUCUGGCUACUGUCUUCUGCUGCCUCAGGGGUUGCUGAUUAUCUGUGGGAAAGGGUAAGUCUCUGAGGGAGAGAGAGAGACAGAGAUAUGAUUUCUAGAGCUAGAUUUAAUCAGUCAUAAGGACCUUCAGUUUCACUAGGGUGUAGACAAAUGGCUAAUCAUACACUACCCAUUGUUAUCUCACAGCCCCACUUGCUUGCCCACUGAGUCAGCCAACUGUUGAAAGUCCAGCUGCCCCCAUCAAUCCGAAAAUGAAUAAUAGGCUAUCGUUCGCUGCCGAGGGUGGCGCUGACGUCUGAGUGAGGCUGUCUCCAGGAUACAUUCGUAACUCCAUCGGAGAGUUGGAGGAAUGCCACCAGCCAGCCUCAGCACUUACCAGAGGUCCCCUGACGUGGACAAUGGAAGAGGUGAAACAUUUGCCUCACAGCUGUCAUCAACACAGAGCCGCUCUCUGGAAACGCAGAAGAAAAGCGUUCAAAACAAACUGAACCCACUUCCUUCUUUAUAUGGUCAAUGAACCAGCUUAUGGUGUCACAAGCGUAUGACAUGGGGGAAAUAAAACCCUGACUUUUCUGGCGUGAGGGUGGGAAAUAGGAGGAGGAAUGAAGGGAGGAGGCCGCCGGGCACAAGAGGCAGAAGGGCAGCAGAGCCCAGAGCCAGACAUGGAAUCGGCAGCCAGGCCACCGGGCUUCCCAUACCUGCUGCUUCCUGUACCACAGGCUGUGUGAUCCCGGAGGAGUCAGGCAACAUCUCUGUGCCCCGGUUUCCACAUCGUUGGAUAUGAGUGAUAACAGUACAUCUUCCUCACAGACUUGUUAUGAGAAUUAAGUCACACCAAACACAUAUUAAGCCUCAUCUAAGUGUGACUAGUAUUGUUAUGUCUGUUAGGUAAAUACCUCAGAACAUACCAGUGAGAGCUGAGGUGGGCCCAGCAGAGACCACACCAUGAAUUACAGCAGCUUCAGGCCUCAUCUGGGAACACCAACAGGACAAGUGUUGGUGCCCCGGGAUCAGAAGAGGCAGAGGCACCUGUUUCUCCCAGCACCUGGGGAACACACCUAAGUCUCCUGUUCCCAACCCCUCAGCACUUUAGGAAGAGCAGGAGCUGGGGCAGCAUCUGAGACUCAGAGCGUGUUUACCCAAAAGACAGCCUAAAUAUUUGCUAAAGAGGCUGCCUCAUUGACAGGAUGUGUCUCCAUUUAGUCCAUAUUGGGCAAUUGAUUUCGGCCACCAACCAGCUGGGGAGCGUAUGGGGCAGGGAGUGGGAAGAUGUGCUGUUCUGCAGAAGCAGACAGGUUGGCACUAAACAAAACGAGGACCCACAUUUUCUCUGCACAACAGCGGACGCUGCCAGGUCCUUUUAAGACCCGACACGCAGAAAAUGAAACUUUAAACCACGUAGUUAUUCAUCAACAAGUAAAAUGGGAUUAGCAAAAUGGAACGAUCAUUACAAUUUUUCAGAAACUACUACGACAUCUUCUUGCUCGUUUUUGAAGGCAAGAUCCGUAUCUGAAUCCUUAUACAUCAGCUACUGAACAACAUAACCAACGAGGAACUUCCAGCGCUGCCUCACUUACCCAGAAGGUUGAAACGUCAUCUUACAGGUAUUAAGCUUACACGUAUUAAUCCUCAGGAUUAAUAGGAAUUUCUCCAUUCACUCUUUUUUUUAUUCUUAAGUGCAGGAUUGAUCUUGUCUGUAUUUAAAAUUUCGAUAUUACGUUCAUCAUGUUCUGUUUGUUUUCAUUAAUUCUGCCUCAAGUACUCACUUAUCUUCUUGGCAGAAAGCUUAAUAUCUCUGCCUUUCCACAUGAGCUGUUGUAGGCACUCUUGAUAUGCAAAAAGAGCUAAGUCCAACUGCCACCUCCAACUGCGGGGAGAGCACUGGUGUUGGACUGCCCACAACUGCCCUGCUUUCUGGUGCUCCCCUAGCUGGUUGUGAAAUUUCUUGGCAACUGCCCUAUGGAGUUGAAUAGAUCAUCCUGGUCCUGUGCUGUGGCAUGUUUGGGGCUGGCUCCUGGGUUUCUCAAGGGAGGAUGUCCCCAUGCUUUUUACUUCCCACAUGCGGUCAUCUCCCUGGUGCCCAGGAUGACUGCGCAUGGGUUCUCACAAUGGUCUACUCGCCGCUGGCUAGCUCACUGAAUUCUCAGGACGCCUGUAUGUGGGUUCUCAAAGUGUGGGCUCUUUGCAGUCAGCUCUUUCAGGCUACACGCUGAGGUAGGCAAAAUAAUACCCCUGUCCCCCCAAGGAUGUCCACUCCCAAUCCUCAGAACCUGUGACUAUAUUAUGUUUCAUGGCAAAAGGGAAUUGAGAUUGCAGGUGGAAUUAAGGUUGCUAAUACGCUGACCUUGAAAUAAGGAAACUAGCUUGGAUAACCUGGGUGAGCCCAAAGCAAUCAUAAAGAUUUUUAAAUGGGGAAGAAAGAUGCAGAAAAGUCCAAACCAGAAGGAUGCCAUCAUGAGAAAGAUUUGACUGGUGAUUGCUGGCUUUGAAGGUGGAAGAGAGUCAUGAGCCAAAGAAUGCUUGCAGCUUCUGGAAGCUGAAAAGGGCAAGGAAAUGGAUUCUUCCCUAGAGCUUCCGGAAGGAAGACAGCUCACCUUAAUUUUAGCUCAGUGAGACCUAUUUUGGAUUUCUAACCUCUAGAACUGUAAAUUAAUAAAUUUGUGUUCUUUUCAGCUGCUAAGUUUGUGGUAGUUACAGCAACAAUAAAAAACUAAUAUACACAUAUGACCUCCCUAAAUCCCCAAGGUGCCCUCGCCUGGGCUUUCAAGAUGGUAGCUCUCCCUACUCACUUCUUUUAGCUUGCACAUGUAGCGAUCUCCCAGAGGGCCUUGGGGUUCCUGUCUGGAUUUUCAAGGUGAUAGGUGUCCAUGGUUUGUAAUGUUGGCUCACACAAGUGGCCACCUCUAGGAGGGCCUGGGUGCCCAUGUCUCCAAGGUCAGUCCUUUCAGCUCACACAACAUGGCCAUCUCCAGAAUUCCAGGGGGCACUGGCUCAUGACUGUUUCUGGAGUCUGAGCCCUGAUGGAUUAAGAACAUCUGUUCCCCUUUCCUUCCCAGAGAGUGAGAACGCAAUACCAGGAGUAGGAACACUCUUACCUGUAAACCCUCAAAA